AAUUCCCACUAGAUGCAUAAAUUGCAGUUCCUAUUAACGGCACUAUGAAUAAUAAUCGGUUUACUUUCUGACUUGUAUCUAAAUAUACUUUCUAUAUGAUUUCAUCUUUUAUUCAGCUGUUUAAAAGCAGAACAUCUAAUUACAGUUCCUAUUAGUCAACAUUAAUUUUUUUUCUUUUUGCCAUGGAGCAUGUGUGAUGACUGAUUUUCUAAAAACAGAAUUCUUUAGCAUAUGGAACAAAUCGUGUUAUUAUUAAUGCAUUCCCAGAUGACUCUGCAUAUCAAUUCUCUUAAUUAUUUAGUCAUUGCUGAUUAUGUCUUUUUAUAAUUCAUUACCCUAUUUCUCGCAGUGCAGGCAUUUUAUUCAUUAAGUGUCAAAAUGAAGGGCUUGACCUCCA
This 397-nucleotide long non-coding RNA is filed under the name Homo sapiens (human). RNAcentral's name for it is "HSALNT0036390". The record is from RNAcentral. Lineage: Eukaryota; Metazoa; Chordata; Mammalia; Primates; Hominidae.